CUGGAGUGGUUUGUCAUUUCCUUCUCUAGCUCACUUUACAGAUAAGUAAACUGAGGCAAACAGAAUGCAGUGACUUGCCCUGGGUCUCAGAGUUGGCUAAGGCCAGAGUUGAACUCAGGAAGAUGAGUCUUUCUGACUCCAGGCCCAGUACUCCAUCCACUGUACAUCUAUCUACCUUUAGUCACUAUCUAAGGUGAAUGAGGAUCUGGAGCUGGAAUGAACAAUUUUGCACUUUUAAGAGGAUCAAAAAGAUCAGAAGAAGCUCUUCACCAUGGCAUCCCUAAACCACUGGCACAGCAUCUUACAGCAAUUAAAAGUCCUGAACCAUUUGUGAUCACACGUGAUUCCUGGAGCCUGAGAUGUCACAGGAAAUGUAGUUCUUAAUCAACCAGGUUAGCACUUAACCUUGUCUGAUUUCUGUCAUAUAACUUACAUACCAGUUAACUUAAUAACAUACCCAUCAGCUA
Molecule: long non-coding RNA, 467 nt
Filed under: Monodelphis domestica (gray short-tailed opossum)
Lineage: Eukaryota; Metazoa; Chordata; Mammalia; Didelphimorphia; Didelphidae
Description: lncRNA (ENSMODG00000040753.1)
Source: RNAcentral